UACGGAAGGGGCUAGCGUUGUUCGGAAUUACUGGGCGUAAAGCGCGCGCAGGCGGUUGGACAAGUGAGGCGUGAAAGCCCUGGGCUCAACCUGGGAAUUGCGCUUCAGACUGUCUGACUGGAGUUCGGGAGAGGGUGGUGGAAUUCCCAGUGUAGAGGUGAAAUUCGUAGAUAUUGGGAGGAACACCGGUGGCGAAGGCGGCCGCCUGGCCCGUAACUGACGCUAUAGCGCGAAAGCGUGGGGAGCAAACAGG
Molecule: ribosomal RNA, 253 nt
Filed under: uncultured bacterium
Lineage: Bacteria
Description: partial 16S ribosomal RNA
Rfam family: Bacterial small subunit ribosomal RNA
Source: RNAcentral